This 425-nucleotide ribosomal RNA is filed under the name uncultured bacterium. Its description in RNAcentral is "bacterial SSU rRNA". It matches the Rfam family "Bacterial small subunit ribosomal RNA", at positions 356 to 773 of the family's 1533-position model. The record is from RNAcentral.
GGGGAAUAUUGCACAAUGGGCGCAAGCCUGAUGCAGCCAUGCCGCGUGUAUGAAGAAGGCCUUCGGGUUGUAAAGUACUUUCAGCGAGGAGGAAGGCGUUAAGGUUAAUAACCUUAGCGAUUGACGUUACCCGCAGAAGAAGCACCGGCUAACUCCGUGCCAGCAGCCGCGGUAAUACGGAGGGUGCAAGCGUUAAUCGGAAUUACUGGGCGUAAAGCGCACGCAGGCGGUCUGUUAAGUCGGAUGUGAAAUCCCCGGGCUCAACCUGGGAACUGCAUUCGAAACUGGCAGGCUGGAGUCUCGUAGAGGGGGGUAGAAUUCCAGGUGUAGCGGUGAAAUGCGUAGAGAUCUGGAGGAAUACCGGUGGCGAAGGCGGCCCCCUGGACAAAGACUGACGCUCAGGUGCGAAAGCGUGGGGAGCAAAC